RNAcentral lists this ribosomal RNA (765 nucleotides) under uncultured Streptococcus sp. Its description in RNAcentral is "bacterial SSU rRNA". It matches the Rfam family "Bacterial small subunit ribosomal RNA", at positions 28 to 776 of the family's 1533-position model. The record is from RNAcentral. Lineage: Bacteria; Bacillati; Bacillota; Bacilli; Lactobacillales; Streptococcaceae.
GACGAACGCUGGCGGCGUGCCUAAUACAUGCAAGUAGAACGCUGAAGAGAGGAGCUUGCUCUUCUUGGAUGAGUUGCGAACGGGUGAGUAACGCGUAGGUAACCUGCCUUGUAGCGGGGGAUAACUAUUGGAAACGAUAGCUAAUACCGCAUAACAAUGGAUGACACAUGUCAUUUAUUUGAAAGGGGCAAUUGCUCCACUACAAGAUGGACCUGCGUUGUAUUAGCUAGUAGGUGAGGUAACGGCUCACCUAGGCGACGAUACAUAGCCGACCUGAGAGGGUGAUCGGCCACACUGGGGCUGAGACACGGCCCAGACUCCUACGGGAGGCAGCAGUAGGGAAUCUUCGGCAAUGGGGGCAACCCUGACCGAGCAACGCCGCGUGAGUGAAGAAGGUUUUCGGAUCGUAAAGCUCUGUUGUAAGUCAAGAACGAGUGUGAGAGUGGAAAGUUCACACUGUGACGGUAGCUUACCAGAAAGGGACGGCUAACUACGUGCCAGCAGCCGCGGUAAUACGUAGGUCCCGAGCGUUGUCCGGAUUUAUUGGGCGUAAAGCGAGCGCAGGCGGUUUGAUAAGUCUGAAGUUAAAGGCUGUGGCUCAACCAUAGUUCGCUUUGGAAACUGUCAAACUUGAGUGCAGAAGGGGAGAGUGGAAUUCCAUGUGUAGCGGUGAAAUGCGUAGAUAUAUGGAGGAACACCGGUGGCGAAAGCGGCUCUCUGGUCUGUAACUGACGCUGAGGCUCGAAAGCGUGGGGAGCGAACAGG